ACUCAACAACGCAGGCGAAGGUGAACUCUUAGACGCAGAGGUCACUCCAGCUAUCAGUGACCUAGCAGGACAGACUUAUCAAUAAACCCUGGGCCAGUUCUAAAAUUGUUAAGCAAACCGAGGUAAAUCAAGAUGGAGUCCUUGGAUGUCAUGGAAGAGAAUCUGGGGUGAAGAGAUUCUGAGGUCAUUGAGGGGUGGGGAUUGGUAUGUUUCCUGGAGGGGUGGGGAAAAAAAAAACAUGAGCUGAGAAAAUGUAGUUUAGAUCCCGUAUAACCUGUGUUUCCCAAUCUCAGAACGGGGUCUAUGAUUCCCCAAAGCUAAGGUGAACACAGAUGUUGUCUGUGAAGUAUGGGGUCCCUAGUGUUGAUCUAGAAAAAUCUAACCAGCAACAGAGGAAGGUCGUAACAACAGCUUUGUGUUGGGAGCUCCAGAUAACCUCGAAAGCCUGACUCAUUAUUUUGACUGCUGACUGCUCUGCCCCGUGCUCAUUAGCAUUCAGGGGUGUGUGGGUUUGGACUGCCUACUCUAACACCCAUGUGUCAAAGAGACGGCCACUAGCCUGUGGUAUUAUUUGUGAGCUAAGAGACGGGCCCUGGUCAGAAGUGAGGACGGUGAGUUGUACAUCCAGAGUGGGUGCUGGUGUGCUAGUUGUUCUUGUUGCCUAGCUACAGUGAAGGGGGCAGAUCCCUCCACUGUUGGUGUCUUUCGAAGUGUGCUGCCAAAGGCCCAAAAGCAACAGGUCAGCUGAUCAUGAGGCAGUGUCUUCACAAAUGUAGCCUGAAACCUUAGAUCUUCCUGCCUCAGUCUCUUGAGUGCGCUGUUAUCUCACACAGUUCGUUGUAGUGACCAAGGAUGGGUUUCUAGCUAUCGAAUAGGGAUUGAUAUAAUCAGGGACAAGUGAAGCUGAAGAUGGCUAGCAGGAAGAAUGAAGAGUCUUUUAGAGGUCACAUUUCCUAACGUCUCAUUCAGUUGACAUUGAUAAGGGACUCUUGGUGACUCACCUUGUCUGCUGGAGUCCCCUGUACCUAUAUCUUUUAGUGUCCACAGAGCAGGCACAGGCUCUAUCUGGUUUUCCUUGUUGCUAGGCCACCCAGAUGGCCUCCUAACAGAGCAGGAGGCUGUAGACAUCCUCUCCGAGGAGGGAACAUUUUUGUCCUGCAAGGCCAGGCUGAUUAGAGAGUCAGCCCUUUAAGGACCCUUUAAACAUCCUCAGGUCUACCAUUCCCCAAAGCUAAGGUGAGCACAGAUGUUGCCUGUAAAGUGUGGGGGUCCCUGGCGUUGAUUUAGAAAUAUCUACCCAGCAACAGAGGAAGGUCAUAGCAACAGCUUCUAGACUCAUUUGCAUCACGGAUAAUGUUUUAAAAUAGCUUUAUUUCAGAAAGCCAUUAAAUCCUGAUAACUGGGCAUUUUCAUAGACAGAAGAACAAACAAGGAAUGACAUUAACAUUAUCUUUCCCGCACACAUGUGCCGGUCUAUCCAGCGAAGGCCGAUUUGGGGCAUGGCUUGCCAGUCAGGCAGCAAGAGGUUUCUCUAAUGGGCCAAAGGCAACCCAUCUCUAAAAGCCACAGCUGCCCGCUUUGUUCCUCUGAAGGAUUAUGAACCCAAAUCUCUUUGUCGCUGUGCAUAGAAC
Molecule: long non-coding RNA, 1631 nt
Filed under: Mus musculus (house mouse)
Lineage: Eukaryota; Metazoa; Chordata; Mammalia; Rodentia; Muridae
Description: long non-coding RNA chr8:23696004-23697635
Source: RNAcentral